This is a long non-coding RNA of Bubalus bubalis (water buffalo), 925 nucleotides long. RefSeq lists it as uncharacterized. The transcript is spliced from 4 exons. NCBI's taxonomy places the organism in Eukaryota, Metazoa, Chordata, Mammalia, Artiodactyla, Bovidae. The record is from RefSeq and is a predicted model, not a curated record.
AAAAUUCUAGAAUGUCCUGCAGCCCUAAUAUGAAGCCAGCAAGAUAACCCCAUGGCCCUGUGCCUCCAAGGAACUCAAAGGCAGGCUCCCAUGUAUUUCAAACCUUUGGAGUUUUAGCCUGGAUUUGGCCCACAGGCACCAAGCAGACCAGCAACUUUACAGAUGUCUUGGAAUAAGAUUUACAAUGACUUCAGCACUUCACUACCUGGCUUAUCUUGGCUCUUGCAGUCCUAAAUUCCAGAGCUACAUUGACAGAAAUCCAUGCAUAGCACAAAGAGGGAAUGCCCAAAGUUUGGGAGGGCUAGCAACAACACCAGCACAUUUAGCAGAGGCCAACAAGCAACUGCCUUCUAUGGGGUCGCACAGAGUCAGACAUGACUGAAGCGACUUAGCAGCAGCAGCAACAAGCAAAGAUUAGUGGGGACUGAUCCAUAAUGAAAGGCUUCUCCUGGGGAAGCCACCUGUCCCCCAUUCCCAAGAAGAUACAUGAGCCCCCUUCUACUCCACUGGCCUAGAGUCACCUUGGGAAGAACAGAGAAAAGAAGAGGAAAUCUGGGAGAGCAAUCAUUUACCCAGAAGAGACUUCUAGAAAUGGCUUGCAUUCUUUGACUCCUGGCUCCCUUUUCGCAUCUUCAAAGCCAGCAAUCUAGUAUCUCCUUGACCAUGUGUCCAUCAUCACUUCCCAUCCAACCUGGAAAUGUCCUCCACUUUUAUGAAUUCAUAUGAUUAAACUGGACCCACCUACCAUGUAAGGUAACAUAUGCAAAGAUUCUAGUCUACCAGGAUAAUAUUUAUUAUUAAGAGUAACACUUGCUAUAAAUUAUGCAUACUCUAAAUGCCUUAAUAACACCAUUAUUAUAAACAUUAAUGUGUAUAUUGCUUGAGUUUUGUGCUUUUUUUUUUGCUAGAGUACUUGUUUUUUGUC